GGCGGGCUCCAGAGACAAAGGAGUGGGAGAUGAUCUGGGAUUUUACUCAUGCACAAACUCAGCUAGUAGAUCGCUCAUACGUGUGCAUUUGUGCGUGUGUGUGUGUGUUUAGGGUUUCUGCUGAUUUCCAUGACGAAUAUUAUUUCCUUUAUUGACAUCAGCAUCAGAGAUUUCCCAAAACUCUGGGAUGCCUGUUAUUCCUAGGUCGGGGCAUGGGGCAAGAAGCCGACAACUCUCGUUUUGCCAGAUUGAGACACACGAUGCUGACUUGCAUUCCUGCCAAAUUAUUGGUGCACGGGCUUUGUCUGAGUAGGCAGAGGCUCCACGGAACUGACAGUGAAUCGUUCUCGCAAGGCCGAGGAUACAAUUUGGCUGCGGCUGCGUAGCCCAGUGCUCUUUACAUGCAAACGGCCAGCAAAAAUAAUGGCAUGUCAAGUGCAAUUUUCUCCCCAGCCGCUGACACCGUAAACUAUAAUAUAGUGUAAUUAUUUGGCAUCCCGUGUCCUUCAUACUAAGCACCACCCAAACGAUUUCCAAGUUGCAGAGAAGAGGGAAGGUUAGAAGGUCAAAUUUAAAGAGAGAAAAUGAGUCAGUGCCUUGGAGGGAGAGAAUUAUAAAUAGAUGUGGCAUCACCAGCAGUGGAGUUAUAUCCAAAUAAGGAACUGCUCAGAAGCCCAGGUAGGAGGGGAAAAGGGAAGAAAGAGAGCAGAGGAGUUUAUGUAACAGAGAGGAUUUAGGAUAGAUCUCUGACCACCUGGAGAGCAAACCGGUUCUUCCCAAAAUAAACCAAUAUGAGGAACCAGGAUCACAGAACCAGAGAACAAGAGCCAAAAGAACUUGGGCAGAAAAUCAAUAGACGCUACACUCAUUUUUCUUAUAUUGCUUGCUUUUCCUGUUCCAUAGGGAUUUGUAUGUUAAAUAUAAUUUCAUAAUCCACGGUACCACUACAAGAGAGGAAACUGCCCCAGAGAGGCUGUCUGACUUGCUCUUCCAGCUGCUUUGUAGCAGAAGUGAAAAAGGAAGAAGUCAGAUCUCCAAGAGAGCCUUCCCAUCCUUUCUCUGUGACUCUCAGAUUCCAACCUUAGUUCUCUUUCAGUCACCUUGACCCUCUCGGCUCUUUCAACAGUCUGGCAUCUGUGAUCGCCUCUGCUGGGAAUGCUCUCCCUUUCCAUCCCUGCACUCUGGGAUGCCACUCUAUAGCCAGGACGCUGGCUAUAGCGUCUCAGCUCACAGGCUAUUUCUUUCAAGAAGGUUCUACAUCCUACCAAACAGACAAGCUUCCCGGCCCAUUAAUUCCAUGACAGAGGGUUUGCAUUUGUAUUUGUUCCAAGCGGAGAAUCUACUGGCCACAAUGCUUAGGAGACAACAAGAACACAUAAGUAUAUAGGAUGAAGAGUCCUUGCACCACCUUAUUCUCUUCCAGAAUUGGCAGAGUAAGUCACCCCUGGAGCUCCUAAUUAUGUGGAAUGCUAAGUAUUUACAAGUAUACUCUUGUUCCACGAAGAACUAGAGUCUCUUUGGCUGAUACCUGUUUCUGAGAAAUUCAGAAAGAAGAGUUCUGAGGUACCUUGUGCCAUAAGCACAGACAUAAGUUUGCAGAUGGAUUGGAGACAAUGAAAUCAUCAUCUCUAUGUAGUGAUUCAUACCACGGGUAAGGGGCUUAGAGAGGAUCAUGCAGUCUCCUCAAAAAAGAGUUGUUUUAACAAGUUAACUUGCACACUAUGACUACCUCAAAGAAAGACUUUUAAAAUCAGAAAGUAGUGGGGUGCCUGGGUGGCUGAGUGGGUUAAGCCUCCAAC
Leopardus geoffroyi (Geoffroy's cat) is the source of this 1799-nucleotide long non-coding RNA. RefSeq lists it as uncharacterized. The transcript has 3 exons. Lineage: Eukaryota; Metazoa; Chordata; Mammalia; Carnivora; Felidae. The record is from RefSeq and is a predicted model, not a curated record.